This 253-nucleotide ribosomal RNA is filed under the name uncultured bacterium. RNAcentral describes it as "partial 16S ribosomal RNA". It matches the Rfam family "Bacterial small subunit ribosomal RNA", at positions 524 to 776 of the family's 1533-position model. The record is from RNAcentral.
UACGGGGGGGGCAAGCGUUGUUCGGAAUUACUGGGCGUAAAGGGCUCGUAGGCGGCCAACUAAGUCAGACGUGAAAUCCCCAGGCUCAACCUGGGAACUGCGUCUGAUACUGGAUGGCUUGAAUUCGGGAGAGGGAUGCAGAAUUCCAGGUGUAGCGGUGAAAUGCGUAGAUAUCUGGAGGAACACCGGUGGCGAAGGCGGCGUUCUGGAACGUUCCUGACACUGAGGCACGAAAGCGUGGGGAGCAAACAGG